AGAACGAACGCUGGCGGCAUGCCUAAUACAUGCAAGUCGAACGAACACUUCGGUGUUAGUGGCGCACGGGUGCGUAACGCGUGGGAAUCUGCCCUUGGGUUCGGAAUAACAGUUGGAAACGACUGCUAAUACCGGAUGAUAUCGAAAGAUCAAAGAUUUAUCGCCCAGGGAUGAGCCCGCGUAGGAUUAGCUAGUUGGUGAGGUAAAGGCUCACCAAGGCGACGAUCCUUAGCUGGUCUGAGAGGAUGAUCAGCCACACUGGGACUGAGACACGGCCCAGACUCCGUACGGGAGGCAGCAGUAGGGAAUAGUUGGACAAUGGGACGCAAGCCUGAUCCAGCAAUGCCGACGUGAGUGAUGAAGGCCUUAGGGUACGUAAAGCUUCUUUACCCGAGUAUGAUAAUGAUAGUA
RNAcentral lists this ribosomal RNA (411 nucleotides) under uncultured soil bacterium. Its description in RNAcentral is "bacterial SSU rRNA". It matches the Rfam family "Bacterial small subunit ribosomal RNA", at positions 26 to 460 of the family's 1533-position model. The record is from RNAcentral.